This 3167-nucleotide ribosomal RNA is filed under the name Thelidium decipiens. RNAcentral describes it as "bacterial SSU rRNA". The stretch from base 1 to 2264 matches the Rfam family "Eukaryotic small subunit ribosomal RNA". The record is from RNAcentral. Lineage: Eukaryota; Fungi; Ascomycota; Eurotiomycetes; Verrucariales; Verrucariaceae.
AACCGUGGUAAUUCUAGAGCUAAUACAUGCCAAAAACCUCGACUUCGGAAGGGGUGUAUUUAUUAGAUAAAAAACCAAUGCCCUUCGGGGCUCCUUGGUGAUUCAUAAUAACUCAACGAAUCGCAUGGCCUUGCGCCGGCGAUGGUUCAUUCAAAUUUCUGCCCUAUCAACUUUCGAUGGUAGGAUAGUGGUAAGCAUCUCUUCAUUCCAUCAUUUUUCGACGCAAUCGCUAACAUCUUCCCAGGCCUACCAUGGUCUCAACGGGUAAGAUGAUUCUCUGUUGCCCGUUCUCUUAUUCCGUAAGGGUCUUCCGCCUUUGCGACAUCAUUGGUUCAGAAGAUGUUCUGUCGGAGCUAAUUCUGAGGUGUGCCCCUCCAAGGGGCCGCCCAAACGCAUGCCAAGUGAUGGACCCUCGUUCAGAAGGGUUUGUGAUACAUGCUGUCCACUCGGGUAAAAUCGAAUCAGGCCGCGCCAAUUUGUGAGAUCGCUCUCGUGGUUCUGUGGGCUUGUUAGAAGAUUUGUUCAACAAAACAAGAUCACCCGCGGGCCGGAGAAUGUACUACAUGUGGCCGUCGAUCUGCAGGAUCUGACGAACGGGGAAUUAGGGUUCUAUUCCGGAGAGGGAGCCUGAGAAACGGCUACCACAUCCAAGGAAGGCAGCAGGCGCGCAAAUUACCCAAUCCCAAUACGGGGAGGUAUGUCACAUCCCCCCAUUCUCUACCCUCAUUUUUGGCCGAGAUAAGCUAACAACAGUUCAGGUAGUGACAAUAAAUACUGAUACAGGGCUCUUUCGGGUCUUGUAAUUGGAAUGAGUACAAUCUAAAUCCCUUGUUCCUGUUAGGGGAUCUUCUUAGUCAUCCACACAGUCGAUGGCAACGUCCCGUCUCUCCGAGGACUCGCAACCAUUCCUAGGUGGUUGUGAGAAUUCGAAGCCCUACUCUGGUUGGGUUCAGAGACUAUUCCAGGACGGAUGGUUCAACCAUUAAUAAUAUAGUCCAAUCCUGCGGCCCAACGUCGCGGGCCAUCAUGUAACGAGGAACAAUUGGAGGGCAAGUCUGGUGAACAAAUGUUCCGCUGACGCCAGACCCCGCCGGGCUCUCCCCCGUUGAUCGGGGAACCCGCGCAGAGUAGAUUGGUGAUCUCACCGUCUGCAAGAUGACCGGCACGGGGAAUGUGUUUGGCUGUGCGCAGCCGCCGAUCCCGUGGUUCGGGGCGGACUUUUACCUGGGUCCCCCCUUCCAUAACGCACGCAAGGUUAUCGCCAUCUCCCGACCCGCUUCUGUAAGCGGGCAGGGGCGAUGGUUCAGGUACGUGCUGAACCGACCCGUCAGGGUGUCACGACCUCUAAACGGGCGUGAUGUGGGUAAAUUAUGGCCAGCAGCCGCGGUAAUUCCAGCUCCAAUAGCGUAUAUUAAAGUUGUUGCAGUUAAAAAGCUCGUAGUUGAACCUUGGGUCUGGCUGAUCUGUCUUCCUAAUCGUUGUACGGAUUCGGUCGGACCUUUCCUCCUGGGGAAACCUAUGUCCUUUAUUGGUCGUAGUGGGGAACCAGGACUUUUACCUUGAAAAAAUUAGAGUGUUCAAAGCAGGCCUUUGCUCGAAUACAUUAGCAUGGAAUAAUACAAUAGGACAGCAGUUCUAUUUUGUUGGUUUCUAGGACCGCUGUAAUGAUUAAUAGGGAUAGUCGGGGGCGUCAGUAUUCAAUUGUCAGAGGUGAAAUUCUUGGAUUUAUUGAAGACUAACUAUUGCGAAAGCAUUCGCCAAGGAUGUUUUCAUUAAUCAGUGAACGAAAGUUAGGGGAUCGAAGACGAUCUUGGGCGGGGUCCCGGUUCCGUCGGGGCCCAUCUGGUCGUCCACAGUACAAGCUAGUCCCGCGGGGCAACACUGUCCAGUUGAGGAGUUUCCCAUCCCGGGUCAUCCACAGCCAAGUCCAACGUCGAGGUGAAUCUCGACCAGGACGCAGUUUACAGACUGUCUGACGGUGGGCUGAGAUUGAACCACAAUCUUGGUUUAAGAUAUAGCCGGUCCGGCGCCGCGACGCGCCCGGAGUCAACGCAGAUACCGUCGUAGUCUUAACCAUAAACUAUGCCGACUAGGGAUCGGACGGUGUUUUUUUAUAUGACCCGUUCGGCACCUUACGAGAAAUCAAAGUUUUUGGGCUCUGGGGGGAGUAUGGUCGCAAGGCUGAAACUUAAAGAAAUUGACGGAAGGGCACCACAAGGCGUAAGCGGCCACUCUGCGCCUGUCGAUGAAGCCCGGAACCAAUUCAUCGGGCAUGUCCCACGAGGCAUGCGGAUACCUAGAUUGUGGGGAACCUUUCGGGGUGAUCCGCAGCUCACUGCGGUGAGUCCAGAGAUUAGAUAGGUAUGGGAGGGAAAACCCCUUCUAAGCUAUAAUCCAUGCGUUGCCUUUUGCUGGCUUCUGCAAGCAUAUGGGAGCCUGCGGCUUAAUUUGACUCAACACGGGAAAACUCACCAGGUUAACCUUUGACCGUAACACGUCUGGGCCUGGGAAUCUUCAGUACUGGUUACACCGGUGCAACACCAGCUGGUACAGGGGACGCUCAACGCCGAUCCUGUAGCGAGCCCAUCCAGGAUGGGGCCGUUGCAACGCGCAGCAAGCGGUGGGCGGUUCUGGAGACGUCUUCUGAACCGCUUUUGGUAUAUGCUAACUCCACGGGCAACCGUGCCUCCCCGUCGAGACCUUCUGGUCGAGCUGUGGGUUGGACCUCUGCGGGAGGUGAGAUCCGUGCCAGACAUAAGAAGGAUUGACAGAUUGAGAGCUCUUUCUUGAUUUUAUGGGUGGUGGUAAACGUCCUUGUGCCACCUACAGCGUUACGGCGCCCACCGUUGAAAAAAUAGCUAGUCUGUCCGGCAGGCAACAUUCUUCUGUUGCUGAAAGUCAACCCGGCCAAAGGGUUGAUAUCAGCAGUUUUACCCUUCGCUACGAGGGUAGAAUUCACAGACUAGACAAGAAUGGACCGACAUCUCUAGAGCCAUCGUAGGCGUGUCGAAGCACCCUUCUGCAACUAUUUCCACAAUAUUUUAGCGUAAGCUGAUCUGCUUUUCGUCUGCAACAUGCGCUUCGAGAGAUCUGUCGGUUAGUGAUAUAGUCGAACCCAACGCGGAGACACGUUUGGUGGUUCGUGGCAUGGCCGUUCUUAGUUGGUG